This 492-nucleotide ribosomal RNA is filed under the name uncultured bacterium. RNAcentral's name for it is "partial 16S ribosomal RNA". It matches the Rfam family "Bacterial small subunit ribosomal RNA", at positions 29 to 507 of the family's 1533-position model. The record is from RNAcentral.
AGUGAACGCUGGCGGUAGGCCUAACACAUGCAAGUCGAACGGCAGCACAGUAAGAGCUUGCUCUUACGGGUGGCGAGUGGCGGACGGGUGAGGAAUACAUCGGAAUCUACUUUUUUGUGGGGGAUAACGUAGGGAAACUUACGCUAAUACCGCAUACGACCUACGGGUGAAAGCAGGGGAUCUUCGGACCUUGCGCGAUUGAAUGAGCCGAUGUCGGAUUAGCUAGUUGGCGGGGUAAAGGCCCACCAAGGCGACGAUCCGUAGCUGGUCUGAGAGGAUGAUCAGCCACACUGGAACUGAGACACGGUCCAGACUCCUACGGGAGGCAGCAGUGGGGAAUAUUGGACAAUGGGCGCAAGCCUGAUCCAGCCAUACCGCGUGGGUGAAGGAGGCCUUCGGGUUGUAAAGCCCUUUUGUUGGGAAAGAAAAGCAGCAGGUUAAUACCCCGCUGUUCUGACGGUACCCAAAGAAUAAGCACCGGCUAACUUCGUG